GAUAGAAAACCGUCCUGAUUGAGCUCGUGUGUUUCCAGAGGAUCGAUGAAAGACGUGGUAUACAUGGAAACAUAAUUAAAUUGGAUACACAAUACGUGUUCCCCCAUUUUCCGGUGUGGGCCCCCGGAAAAAAAGGUUAUGGUUGUCGCGAUCCAUCAUACAGGGAGAAAGAAAAAAAAAGAAACUAAAAUUGUGGAAGCAGUUCGAUUUCUGAGUUUUGCUUUUAAGUUACCUGUGCUGUUAAAUUUGUAUUUAUUAAAACAUUAUGAUGAAACUGAUUCCCUCGACUUGCCGAUCCGAUGUCCGAUGUUGAGUGAGACACAAACAAUUUUCCGUCUGCCGGUGUUCGAUACACAUCUCCUCCUAGCAGUAGGAAAACGAUGAGCAAUGUGUAAAGCAGACUGGGUGAAAACGUAUUCCUGGAUUGCACCUGUUGAAAUUGGAGCAAAGUAUAUGGGUUAAAUAAAACGUAAUUACAAGCACAUUAUACAAGCUUCAGAACCGAUGCCUUACUCAUUUUUUACUUUUUUUCCUUUCUGAAAAGGAUGUGUUCCCUGGCGAUUCGUAAGGGCAUUAUUCCAUGUCGUCAACGUCUGUUGCUAAUUGAAAAAUGGUGCUCAUUUCAACUUAGUUGGAUUGUUGAUCCUCAUGCAUCUCUACUGUCUUCCAACUGUGUACUAGGUUUUAAUGACUAUAAUAAUUUUACUGCCACCAAUUCGCCACCACCAUUAAUAUGUUAUCAAUUAUUAUUAAAACUGUGUAACAAAGGAAUAAAUAAUAUAAGUGGGGGUGUAUCGUCUACAAAUUCAUCUACAUUGAAAUAAACUAGAGGACGAGGAGGUAAAUUAACGGCUACUAAUUUACAUUUUAUAGAUUCAAUGGUCAAGGUGACUGGUAAUGAUGGAAGAAAAGAAUUUAGUUUGUAAAUACCAAUUUCACUAGAUUUUAAUUCAAUACGCGAAACAUCGUCUUCAAUAUUAACGUGAAAAUAAUCUACGUUAUUUUCGUAUUGAAUGCCAUGUAUAAUAAAAAUAUUUUGGGAGGAGAUUUCCACCCUUACAAAUUUAACUAUUGAGUUAGAUGUUGUUAAUAACCACUGAUCUUUAAACACAGGUUUUAAAACAAAACUGGCAGUAAUAUGCAACCCACAGCCAUCCGAAGUUACACAUGGAUACACGUUUUUGUUUGAACUAGAGAUUACAUUCAUCGAGGCAAACAGUUUGGAUCUACCAGCUACUUGUUCUAAGCAUUUAGAACCUUUCCUCACGCACCUUUUAAGAAACUGUAGAAAGUUCUCGAAAGGAUAUGCCGAGAAGUUGUCCAAUUCACCAUGCACUUCAACGUCUUCAUGAACGUGCAGAAGAUUGUGUAUGUUGCUGCUCAUAUGGGUGCGACCAUAAUGAAUUGGGAAAUCUAAAACAAAUUUAAGAAGCAUUCUACGUGCAAGAGAAUGGCUAACGUAGUGCAGAAAAGAUCUAAACUCGGUUCCUUUCCAAUACUGAAUUGUUUCCAGCGAUCGAAAUGGUCGGUGUACUUCGGAAGGAAGCUUGGUUUUAACCAAAAAAAAUUUACGACUACCACCCAAAUCAAGAAGAUGCAAUCGAUCAGCAACUGGAAAACUCUUGAUCAUAUCUAAACCUUCAAUGUCUUCUAAGGG
Molecule: long non-coding RNA, 1657 nt
Organism: Anopheles stephensi (Asian malaria mosquito)
Lineage: Eukaryota; Metazoa; Arthropoda; Insecta; Diptera; Culicidae
Exons: 4
Source: RefSeq, a predicted model, not a curated record